GAACGGUCGGCAGGCGAUCCGCGUCGGUCGCGCGAGGUGGUAUGGUUCCCCAGAGGCCGGUUCUUGUGCUGCCUACCCCUUCAGGGGAAGCGGGCCACUUGAUGUAAGCCUCCAUCCGGCGCCCUCCAACGGGCGCAGGAGGACAACAGAGCACACCCCGCGUACCACCGAGCCUUCGUCGGUCGCGUGGCGCGCGGGGACGUGCGAUGCUCUCGGACCCAGCGGACGCCGUGGGCGAGGACUCACGUCCCAGUCCCGAUAGAAGCUUCGGUAUAAUGCAUGACGGCCGCUCCCGCCCCCCGACCGCCCU
This 310-nucleotide unclassified non-coding RNA is filed under the name Acacia longifolia. RNAcentral's name for it is "partial external transcribed spacer". The record is from RNAcentral. Lineage: Eukaryota; Viridiplantae; Streptophyta; Magnoliopsida; Fabales; Fabaceae.